This 173-nucleotide unclassified non-coding RNA is filed under the name uncultured Hypomyces. RNAcentral's name for it is "sequence contains ITS1". The record is from RNAcentral. Lineage: Eukaryota; Fungi; Ascomycota; Sordariomycetes; Hypocreales; Hypocreaceae.
CCGAGUUAUACAACUCCCAAACCCACUGUGAACCUUACCUCUACGUUGCUUCGGCGGGACCGCCCCGGGCCCCCCGUGCCCGGAACCAGGCGCCCGCCGGAGACCCCAAAACUCUCAUGUUUACCAUAGCGGAAUUUCUUCUGAGUGGCCCUUUGCGGCAAACAAAUGAAUCA